GGGGGUGUACUGGCUUUCGACGCGGUGUGUGAUUCUCAGACAGCAUGUCGAGGAUGUCGGUUGGCCUCGUAAAACAUCCGGCAAAACAAUAAAUGCAGAAGAUUAUUCUUAUGCAAUGGCUGCUUAAUUAAAAGUAGCCGACCGUCUGGUUGGGUAGCGUUCCCUGGUUAGGCGGUCCACUUUGAACGCUGGGUAUGCGGGAUGCAUCGACUGUGUACCGAGAACUAUAGGUGCUGGUUUUGUGCCCAGCCUGUCUUUCGGCGGAGUAUAAAACGAGAUUAAAUGAAAGGCUAAACAUGUAGCGGUCUGUGUUGAGUGCAUCGCGGACAGGGGUUCGACUCCCCUCACCUCCACCA
RNAcentral lists this transfer-messenger RNA (356 nucleotides) under bacterium. RNAcentral's name for it is "JAFGJC01 sp016929305 Standard tmRNA". It matches the Rfam family "transfer-messenger RNA". From Rfam's summary of the family: Bacterial tmRNA, also known as 10Sa RNA or SsrA, is named for its dual tRNA and mRNA-like properties. Its role is to liberate the mRNA from a stalled ribosome. The record is from RNAcentral. RNAcentral also lists the same sequence under 1 other name.